This is a transfer RNA of Camelus ferus (Wild Bactrian camel), 73 nucleotides long. It matches the Rfam family "tRNA". Rfam says of the family: Transfer RNA (tRNA) molecules are approximately 80 nucleotides in length. NCBI's taxonomy places the organism in Eukaryota, Metazoa, Chordata, Mammalia, Artiodactyla, Camelidae. The record is from Rfam.
GAGGGUAUAGCUCAAAUUGUAGAGCGCAAGCUUAGGAUGCUUGAGGUAUUGGGUUCAAUCCCCAGUACCUCCU